This 140-nucleotide microRNA precursor is filed under the name Beta vulgaris subsp. vulgaris (sugar beet). RNAcentral describes it as "pre miRNA mir-399". The record is from RNAcentral. Lineage: Eukaryota; Viridiplantae; Streptophyta; Magnoliopsida; Caryophyllales; Amaranthaceae.
GCGAUAAUGACUGGGUAAUUCUCUAAGGUUAUUAUAAAAGCAUUUUCUAGAAAGAGAGAAUUAUCGGGGUGUUCCCGAUAAUUCUCUUUUCUAGAAAAUACUUUUAUAAUAACCAAAGAGAAUUACCCAGGCAUUAUCGC